UCACUCGCUAUUGGGAUUCGACUCAAGCCAUGCGAGUCGAGAGGGUUCGGCCCUCGGCUGACGGCUCAGUAACACGUGGAUAAUCUGCCCUAAGGUGGAGGAUAACCUCGGGAAACUGAGAAUAAUACUCCAUAGGUCUAAGAUACUGGAAUGUACUUAGACUCAAAACUCCGGUGCCUUAGGAUGAGUCUGCGGACUAUCAGGUUGUAGUCAGGGUAAAGACCUGACUAGCCUACGACGGAUACGGGUUGUGAGAGCAAUAACCCGGAGAUGAUAUCUGAGACGCGAUAUCAGGCCCUACGGGGCGCAGCAGGCGCGAAAACUUCACACUGUGCGAAAGCGCGAUGAGGGAAUCCCAAGUGUAUGCACGUAAGUGUAUACUGUUUCUAUGUUUAAAAAGCAGAGAGAGUAAGGGCUGGGUAAAGACGGGUGCCAGCCGCCGCGGUAAUACCUGCAGCUCUAGUGGUGAUCAUUAUUAUUGGGCCUAAAACGUCCGUAGCCGGUUUAGUAAAUGCCUGGGUAAAUCGUGUAGCUCAACUAUACGACUUCCGGGUAGACUGCUGAACUUGAGAUCGGGAGAGGUUAGAGGUACUCCUGGGGUAAAGGUGAAAUUCUGUAAUCCUGGGGGGACCACCAGUGGCGAAGGCGUCUGACCAGAACGGGUCUGACGGUGAGGGACGAAGCCCUGGGGCGCAAACCGGAUUAGAUGCCCGGGUAGUCCAGGGUGUAAACGCUGCUUGCUUGAUGUUAGUCGGGCUCCGAGCCCGAUUAGUGUCGGAGAGAAGUUGUUAACCAAGCUGCCUGGGAAGUACGGUCGCAAGACUGAAACUUAAAGGAAUUGGCGGGGAGCACAGCAACGGUGGAGCGUG
Molecule: ribosomal RNA, 869 nt
Filed under: uncultured archaeon
Lineage: Archaea
Description: bacterial SSU rRNA
Rfam family: Archaeal small subunit ribosomal RNA
Source: RNAcentral